This 534-nucleotide ribosomal RNA is filed under the name fungal sp. RNAcentral describes it as "eukaryotic LSU rRNA". The stretch from base 189 to 342 matches the Rfam family "5.8S ribosomal RNA". Lineage: Eukaryota; Fungi. The record is from RNAcentral.
GGGGGCCUGCGGAGGGAUCAUUACACAAAUAUGAAGGCGGGCUGGAACCUCUCGGGGUUACAGCCUUGCUGAAUUAUUCACCCUUGUCUUUUGCGUACUUCUUGUUUCCUUGGUGGGUUCGCCCACCACUAGGACAAACAUAAACCUUUUGUAAUUGCAAUCAGCGUCAGUAACAAAUUAAUAAUUACAACUUUCAACAACGGAUCUCUUGGUUCUGGCAUCGAUGAAGAACGCAGCGAAAUGCGAUAAGUAGUGUGAAUUGCAGAAUUCAGUGAAUCAUCGAAUCUUUGAACGCACAUUGCGCCCUUUGGUAUUCCAAAGGGCAUGCCUGUUCGAGCGUCAUUUGUACCCUCAAGCUUUGCUUGGUGUUGGGCGUCUUGUCUCUAGCUUUGCUGGAGACUCGCCUUAAAGUAAUUGGCAGCCGGCCUACUGGUUUCGGAGCGCAGCACAAGUCGCACUCUCUAUCAGCAAAGGUCUAGCAUCCACUAAGCCUUUUUCAACUUUGACCUCGGAUCAGGUAGGUUCCCGGGUCCU